UGGUAGUAACGAUGCCGAAAUCCACAACCCUUGCAACGACACAAGAGAAGAUUAGCAUGGCCCCUGCACAAGGAUGACACGCACAAAUCGAGAAGUGUACCAACAAGAA
This 109-nucleotide small nuclear RNA is filed under the name Symbiodinium microadriaticum. RNAcentral also lists the same sequence under 1 other name. Lineage: Eukaryota; Dinophyceae; Suessiales; Symbiodiniaceae. The record is from RNAcentral.